UGGGGAAUAUUGCACAAUGGGCGCAAGCCUGAUGCAGCCAUGCCGCGUGUAUGAAGAAGGCCUUCGGGUUGUAAAGUACUUUCAGCGGGGAGGAAGGGAGUAAAGUUAAUACCUUUGCUCAUUGACGUUACCCGCAGAAGAAGCACCGGCUAACUCCGUGCCAGCAGCCGCGGUAAUACGGAGGGUGCAAACGUUAAUCGGAAUUACUGGGCGUAAAGCGCACGCAGGCGGUUUGUUAAGUCAGAUGUGAAAUCCCCGGGCUCAACCUGGGAACUGCAUCUGAUACUGGCAAGCUUGAGUCUCGUAGAGGGGGGUAGAAUUCCAGGUGUAGCGGUGAAAUGCGUAGAGAUCUGGAGGAAUACCGGUGGCGAAGGCGGCCCCCUGGACGAAGAUUGACGCUCAGGUGCGAAAGCGUGGGGAGCAAACAGG
RNAcentral lists this ribosomal RNA (429 nucleotides) under Chloroflexota bacterium. Its description in RNAcentral is "Chloroflexi bacterium partial 16S ribosomal RNA". It matches the Rfam family "Bacterial small subunit ribosomal RNA", at positions 355 to 776 of the family's 1533-position model. The record is from RNAcentral. Lineage: Bacteria; Bacillati; Chloroflexota.